UUCCGGUUGAUCCCGCCGGAGGUUACUGCUAUUGGUGUUCGACUAAGCCAUGCAAGUCAUAUGUUCCUCGUGAACAUGGCAUACUGCUCAGUAACACGUGGAUAACCUGCCCUUGGGCCUGGGAUAACCCCGGGAAACUGGGGAUAAUACCGGAUAACGCAUAUGUGCUGGAAUGCUUUAUGCGUAAAACGGAUUCGUCCGCCCAAGGAUGGGUCUGCGGCCUAUCAGGUAGUAGUGGGUGUAAUGUACCUACUAGCCAACAACGGGUACGGGUUGUGAGAGCAAGAGCCCGGAGAUGGAUUCUGAGACAUGAAUCCAGGCCCUACGGGGCGCAGCAGGCGCGAAAACUUUACAAUGCGGGCAACCGUGAUAAGGGAACCUCGAGUGCCUGUAAAUGCAGGCUGUUCAGGUGCCUAAAACACACCUGAAGAAAGGGCCGGGCAAGACCGGUGCCAGCCGCCGCGGUAAUACCGGCGGCUCGAGUGGUGGCCGCUUUUAUUGGGCUUAAAGCGUUCGUAGCUGGGUUGUUAAGUCUCUUGGGAAAUCUGGCGGCUUAACCGUCAGGCGUCUAAGGGAUACUGGCAAUCUUGGAACCGGGAGAGGUGAGGGGUACUUCGGGGGUAGGAGUGAAAUCCUGUAAUCCUCGAGGGACCACCUGUGGCGAAGGCGCCUCACCAGAACGGCUUCGACAGUGAGGGACGAAAGCUGGGGGAGCAAGCCGGAUUAGAUACCCGGGUAGUCCCAGCCGUAAACUAUGCGCGUUAGGUGUAUCGGUGACCACGAGUUACCGAGGUGCCGAAGGGAAACCGUGAAACGUGCCGCCUGGGAAGUACGGUCGCAAGGCUGAAACUUAAAGGAAUUGGCGGGGGAGCACCACAACAGGUGGAGCCUGCGGUUUAAUUGGACUCAACGCCGGGAAGCUCACCGGAUAAGACAGCAGAAUGAUUGCCGGGCUGAAGACUCUGCAUGACUAGCUGAGAGGAGGUGCAUGGCC
This 994-nucleotide ribosomal RNA is filed under the name uncultured archaeon. RNAcentral's name for it is "bacterial SSU rRNA". It matches the Rfam family "Archaeal small subunit ribosomal RNA", at positions 1 to 999 of the family's 1478-position model. The record is from RNAcentral.